CGAGCCCUCCGCCUGGUUUCCCCCUUCUCGGCCUACUCCACCGGUUGCUUCGCCUAGCCCUCCAGUGUCCCCACCAGACCUCGAGGGCUGGCAAAAGCCCACCAAGGUGGCCCCCCAAGCUGGCAAAAGCCCACCAAGGAGGAAACACGGAGCUCCCCUGCCAGAUAUUGUCCAGUUCGUAAGCCCGCACGUGCGCACACGCGCCGCUCAGACCCCUCUUCGGGUUUGUUUUCCACCCAAAAUGCGUCUGCAGGAUUUGGAGACACUCGCCUUAUAUGCCCAGGCUCUGGAACGAAUCUUUCUGAUGUGGGACUAUUGGGCCUCACACCCUUUCCACCAUCG
This 342-nucleotide long non-coding RNA is filed under the name Phoenix dactylifera (date palm). Its description in RNAcentral is "long non-coding RNA (PDAC_LNC017219)". The record is from RNAcentral. Lineage: Eukaryota; Viridiplantae; Streptophyta; Magnoliopsida; Arecales; Arecaceae.